This 254-nucleotide ribosomal RNA is filed under the name uncultured bacterium. RNAcentral describes it as "partial 16S ribosomal RNA". It matches the Rfam family "Bacterial small subunit ribosomal RNA", at positions 524 to 776 of the family's 1533-position model. The record is from RNAcentral.
UACGUAGGGAGCGAGCGUUGUCCGCAGUUACUGGGCGUAAAGCGCGCGUAGGCGGGUUUGCAAGUCGGAGGUGAAAUGCUGGGGCUCAACUCCAUGCAGUGCCUCCGAUACUUCAAGUCUUGAGUGCGGUAGGGAGAAGUGGAAUGGCUGGUGUAGCGGUGAAAUGCGUAGAUAUCAGUCGGAACACCGGUGGCGAAGGCGGCUUCUUGGGCCGUUACUGACGCUGAGGCGCGAAAGCCAGGGGAGCGAACGGG